Molecule: ribosomal RNA, 375 nt
Filed under: uncultured Glomeromycotina
Lineage: Eukaryota; Fungi; Glomeromycota
Description: LSU rRNA
Source: RNAcentral
UUGAAAGGGAAACGAUUGAAGUCAGUCGUACCGACGAGAAAUCAGCUCUUUGAGUGCGAACUUGUGGGCGUGCGUGAGCUUUACGGUCUCGCUGUUUGCAAUGUUUGUUCUUUUUGGGUGUACUUUUUCGUAUGGUAGGCCAACAUCAGUUUCGAAUAUCAUAAAAUGACCGGAGGAAUGUAGCUUCGAUCUUGUAUUGAAGUGUUAUAGCCUUUGGUAGAUGUGGUGUUUGGGACUGAGGAUUGCAACGAAUAUCCUUUGGGCUAUCCGUCUGAUCUCUGAAAGUUGCUUAGGUGCCGAAAGCGUGCUUAUGGUUAUCUAAGUUAACGGUCAAUAGGUUAGAACGUGAUUACAUUCGUUAAGGAUGUUGACGUA